This 253-nucleotide ribosomal RNA is filed under the name uncultured bacterium. RNAcentral describes it as "partial 16S ribosomal RNA". It matches the Rfam family "Bacterial small subunit ribosomal RNA", at positions 524 to 776 of the family's 1533-position model. The record is from RNAcentral.
UACAUGGGGUGCAAACGUUGCUCGGAAUCAUUGGGCGUAAAGCGCACGUAGGCGGUUACUUAAGUCGGGCGUGAAAGCCCUCGGCUCAACCGAGGAAGUGCACCCGAAACUGCUGAGCUUGAGUGCCGGAGAGGAUGGCGGAAUUCCCCAAGUAGAGGUGAAAUUCGUAGAUAUGGGGAGGAACACCGGUGGCGAAGGCGGCCAUCUGGACGGUAACUGACGCUGAGACGCGAAAGCGUGGGGAGCAAACAGG